ACGACUCUCGGCAACGGAUAUCUCGGCUCUCGCAUCGAUGAAGAACGUAGCGAAAUGCGAUACUUGGUGUGAAUUGCAGAAUCCCGUGAACCAUCGAGUCUUUGAACGCAAGUUGCGCCCCAAGCCUUCAGGCCGAGGGCACGUCUGCCUGGGUGUCA
Molecule: ribosomal RNA, 158 nt
Filed under: Draba altaica
Lineage: Eukaryota; Viridiplantae; Streptophyta; Magnoliopsida; Brassicales; Brassicaceae
Also listed under: 2 other names
Description: 5.8S ribosomal RNA
Rfam family: 5.8S ribosomal RNA
About the family: 5.8S ribosomal RNA (5.8S rRNA) is a component of the large subunit of the eukaryotic ribosome.
Source: RNAcentral